AGAGCACCUGAAGGACAUCAUGUUGUGUUGCAUCAUUCUCCACAACAUGAUUGUGGAGCACGAAGGUGAAGCGGCUGCCAACUGGAGAGAUGAUGACGGGGCGUCUAGCAGUGCUUCGACGGAGAGUGCUGGACAAACACCGGUGUCCUUCGAGGAAUAUGUGCGAAGGGAUACAAUUCUCCGAGAUAGACAUCUACAUGGUCAGCUCCGAAAUGAUUUGGUGGAGCACCUUUGGGCACGUUUCGGACCUCUAGGGCCAGAGUAGUUAAUUUUUAGGAAUUAUUUUUAUUUUAUUUAAGUUUUAUGUAAUAUUUAGGAUUUUAUAAUUAAUGCA
RNAcentral lists this long non-coding RNA (334 nucleotides) under Salvia miltiorrhiza (redroot sage). RNAcentral's name for it is "long non-coding RNA (SMIL_LNC013342)". The record is from RNAcentral. Lineage: Eukaryota; Viridiplantae; Streptophyta; Magnoliopsida; Lamiales; Lamiaceae.